CGGCGAAGUGAAGCGGCAAAAGCUCAAAUUUGAAAUCUAGCACUUUCAGUGUUCGAGUUGUAAUUUGAAGAAGGUAACUUUGGUUUUGGCUCUUGUCUAUGUUCCUUGGAACAGGACGUCACAGAGGGUGAGAAUCCCGUGCGAUGAGAUGCCCAAUUCCAUGUAAAGUGCUUUCGAAGAGUCGAGUUGUUUGGGAAUGCAGCUCUAAGUGGGUGGUAAAUUCCAUCUAAAGCUAAAUAUUGGCGAGAGACCGAUAGCGAACAAGUACAGUGAUGGAAAGAUGAAAAGAACUUUGAAAAGAGAGUGAAAAAGUACGUGAAAUUGUUGAAAGGGAAGGGCUUGAGAUCAGACUUGGUAUUUUGCGUUCCCUUCCUUUUUGGUUGGGUUCCUCGCAGUUUACUGGGCCAGCAUCGGUUUGGAUGGUAGGAUAAUGACAUUGGAAUGUAGCUUUACUUCGGUGAAGUGUUAUAGACUUUGUUGAUACUGCCUAUCUAGACCGAGGACUGCGUCUUUGACUAGGAUGCUGGCGUAAUGAUCUUAAGCCGCCCGUCUUGAAACACGGACCAAGGAGUCUAACGUCUAUGCAAGUGUUUGGGUGUAAAACCCGUACGCGUAAUGAAAGUGAACGUAGGUGAGAGCCUUUUAGGUGCAUCAUCGACCGAUCCUGAUGUCUUCGGAUGGAUUUGAGUAAGAGCAU
This 697-nucleotide ribosomal RNA is filed under the name Dujonia zeylanoides. RNAcentral's name for it is "[Candida] zeylanoides partial large subunit ribosomal RNA". It matches the Rfam family "Eukaryotic large subunit ribosomal RNA", at positions 87 to 803 of the family's 3401-position model. Lineage: Eukaryota; Fungi; Ascomycota; Pichiomycetes; Serinales; Debaryomycetaceae. The record is from RNAcentral.